This 1372-nucleotide ribosomal RNA is filed under the name uncultured bacterium. Its description in RNAcentral is "bacterial SSU rRNA". It matches the Rfam family "Bacterial small subunit ribosomal RNA", at positions 28 to 1381 of the family's 1533-position model. The record is from RNAcentral.
GAUGAACGCUGGCGGCGUGCCUAAUACAUGCAAGUCGAGCGAACGGACGAGAAGCUUGCUUCUCUGAUGUUAGCGGCGGACGGGUGAGUAACACGUGGAUAACCUACCUAUAAGACUGGGAUAACUUCGGGAAACCGGAGCUAAUACCGGAUAAUAUUUUGAACCGCAUGGUUCAAAAGUGAAAGACGGUCUUGCUGUCACUUAUAGAUGGAUCCGCGCUGCAUUAGCUAGUUGGUAAGGUAACGGCUUACCAAGGCAACGAUGCAUAGCCGACCUGAGAGGGUGAUCGGCCACACUGGAACUGAGACACGGUCCAGACUCCUACGGGAGGCAGCAGUAGGGAAUCUUCCGCAAUGGGCGAAAGCCUGACGGAGCAACGCCGCGUGAGUGAUGAAGGUCUUCGGAUCGUAAAACUCUGUUAUUAGGGAAGAACAUAUGUGUAAGUAACUGUGCACAUCUUGACGGUACCUAAUCAGAAAGCCACGGCUAACUACGUGCCAGCAGCCGCGGUAAUACGUAGGUGGCAAGCGUUAUCCGGAAUUAUUGGGCGUAAAGCGCGCGUGGGCGGUUUUUUAAGUCUGAUGUGAAAGCCCACGGCUCAACCGUGGAGGGUCAUUGGAAACUGGAAAACUUGAGUGCAGAAGAGGAAAGUGGAAUUCCAUAUGUAGCGGUGAAAUGCGCAGAGAUAUGGAGGAACACCAGUGGCGAAGGCGACUUUCUGGUCUGUAACUGACGCUGAUGUGCGAAAGCGUGGGGAUCAAACAGGAUUAGAUACCCUGGUAGUCCACGCCGUAAACGAUGAGUGCUAAGUGUUAGGGGGUUUCCGCCCCUUAGUGCUGCAGCUAACGCAUUAAGCACUCCGCCUGGGGAGUACGACCGCAAGGUUGAAACUCAAAGGAAUUGACGGGGACCCGCACAAGCGGUGGAGCAUGUGGUUUAAUUCGAAGCAACGCGAAGAACCUUACCAAAUCUUGACAUCCUUUGACAACUCUAGAGAUAGAGCCUUCCCCUUCGGGGGACAAAGUGACAGGUGGUGCAUGGUUGUCGUCAGCUCGUGUCGUGAGAUGUUGGGUUAAGUCCCGCAACGAGCGCAACCCUUAAGCUUAGUUGCCAUCAUUAAGUUGGGCACUCUAAGUUGACUGCCGGUGACAAACCGGAGGAAGGUGGGGAUGACGUCAAAUCAUCAUGCCCCUUAUGAUUUGGGCUACACACGUGCUACAAUGGACAAUACAAAGGGCAGCGAAACCGCGAGGUCAAGCAAAUCCCAUAAAGUUGUUCUCAGUUCGGAUUGUAGUCUGCAACUCGACUACAUGAAGCUGGAAUCGCUAGUAAUCGUAGAUCAGCAUGCUACGGUGAAUACGUUCCCGGGUCU